GAUGAACGCUAGCGGCAGGCCUAAUACAUGCAAGUCGGACGGGAUUCAGGAGCUUGCUUCUGAUGAGAGUGGCGCACGGGUGCGUAACACGUAUGUAACCUACCUUUAUCAGGGGGAUAGCCUCUCGAAAGAGAGAUUAAGCCCGCAUAAAAUCACAGCACAGCAUUGUGUAAUGAUCAAAUAUUUAUAGGAUAAAGAUGGGCAUGCGGAACAUUAGCUAGAUGGCGGGGUAACGGCCCACCAUGGCGACGAUGUUUAGGGGAUCUGAGAGGAUGGCCCCCCACACUUGUACUGAGACACGGACCAGACUCCUACGUGAGGCAGCAGUAAGGAAUAGUGGUCAAUGGGCGGGAGCCUGAACCAGCCAUGCCGCGUGCAGGAAGACGGCCCUACGGGUUGUAAACUGCUUUUAUACGGGAAUAAACCCAGAUACGUGUAUCUGGCUGAAUGUACUGUAAGAAUAAGGAUCGGCUAACUCCGUG
RNAcentral lists this ribosomal RNA (482 nucleotides) under uncultured bacterium. RNAcentral describes it as "partial 16S ribosomal RNA". It matches the Rfam family "Bacterial small subunit ribosomal RNA", at positions 28 to 507 of the family's 1533-position model. The record is from RNAcentral.